Molecule: ribosomal RNA, 499 nt
Filed under: uncultured bacterium
Lineage: Bacteria
Description: partial 16S ribosomal RNA
Rfam family: Bacterial small subunit ribosomal RNA
Source: RNAcentral
AUUGAACGCUGGCGGCAUGCCUUACACAUGCAAGUCGAACGGCAGCACGGGGGCAACCCUGGUGGCGAGUGGCGAACGGGUGAGUAAUGCAUCGGAACGUGUCCUCUUGUGGGGGAUAACCAGUCGAAAGAUUGGCUAAUACCGCAUGAGAUCGAAAGAUGAAAGCGGGGGACCGCAAGGCCUCGCGCGAGAGGAGCGGCCGAUGCCGGAUUAGCUAGUUAGUGGGGAAAAAGCCAACCAAGGCGACAAUCCGAAGCUGGUCUGAGAGGACGCCCGGCAACACUGGGACUGAGACACGGCCCAGACUCCUCGGGGAGGCAGCAGUGGGAAAUUUGGGACAAUGGGCGAAAGCCUGAUCCAGCCAUGCCGCGUGUGUGAGGAAGGCCUUCGGGUUGUAAGCACUUUCGGAUGGAACGAAAUCGCGCGGACGAACAUUCCGCGUGGAUGACGGUACCGUAAGAAGAAGCACCGGCUAACUACGUGCCAGCAGCCGCCGUAA